GACGAACGCUGGCGGCGUGCUUAACACAUGCAAGUCGAGCGAUGAAAUCCCUUCGGGGAUGGAUUAGCGGCGGACGGGUGAGUAACACGUGGGCAACCUGCCUCAAAGUGGGGGAUAGCCUUCCGAAAGGGAGAUUAAUACCGCAUAACAUUAGUAAUUCACAUGAAAUACUAAUUAAAGGAGUAAUCCGCUUUGAGAUGGGCCCGCGGCGCAUUAGCUAGUUGGUGAGGUAACGGCUCACCAAGGCCACGAUGCGUAGCCGACCUGAGAGGGUGAUCGGCCACAUUGGAACUGAGACACGGUCCAGACUCCUACGGGAGGCAGCAGUGGGGAAUAUUGCACAAUGGGCGAAAGCCUGAUGCAGCAACGCCGCGUGAGUGAUGAAGGCCUUCGGGUUGUAAAGCUCUGUCUUUGGGGACGAUAAUGACGGUACCCAAGGAGGAAGCCACGGCUAACUACGUG
RNAcentral lists this ribosomal RNA (462 nucleotides) under uncultured organism. RNAcentral's name for it is "bacterial SSU rRNA". It matches the Rfam family "Bacterial small subunit ribosomal RNA", at positions 28 to 507 of the family's 1533-position model. The record is from RNAcentral.